CCAAUAGCGUAUAUUAAAGUUGUUGCAGUUAAAAAGCUCGUAGUUGAAUUUCGAGAUCAAAUUGUUGGUCGUGCCUUGGUACGCACUGGCAUUAUUGGUUUCUCCCUUCUGAAGAACCAUGAUGUCAUUAAUUUGGUGUCAUGGGGAAUCAGGACUGUUACUUUGAAAAAAUUAGAGUGUUUAAAGCAGGCUCGCGCUUGAAUACAUUAGCAUGGAAUAAUGAAAUAGGACGUUUGAUUCUAUUUUGUUGGUUUCUAGGAUUGACGUAAUGAUUAAUAGGGAUAGUUGGGGGCAUUAGUAUUCAAUUGUCAGAGGUGAAAUUCUUGGAUUUAUUGAAGACUAACUACUGCGAAAGCAUUUGCCAAGGAUGUUUUCAUUAAUCAAGAACGAAAGUUAGGGGAUCGAAGACGAUCAGAUACCGUCGUAGUCUUAACCAUAAACUAUGCCGACUAGGGAUCGGAUGAUGUUAAUUUUAUAAUGACUCAUUCGGCGCCUUAC
RNAcentral lists this ribosomal RNA (498 nucleotides) under uncultured Glomus. RNAcentral describes it as "SSU rRNA". It matches the Rfam family "Eukaryotic small subunit ribosomal RNA", at positions 591 to 1091 of the family's 1831-position model. The record is from RNAcentral. Lineage: Eukaryota; Fungi; Glomeromycota; Glomeromycetes; Glomerales; Glomeraceae.